CCUACGGGUGGCAGCAGUGGGGAAUAUUGGACAAUGGGGGGAACCCUGAUCCAGCGACGCCGCGUGAGUGAAGAAGGAUUUCGGUAUGUAAAGCUCUAUCAGCAGGGAAGAAAGAAAUGACGGUACCUGACUAAGAAGCCACGGCUAACUACGGGCCAGCAGCCGCGGUAAUACGUAGGGGGCAAGCGUUAUCCGGAUUUACUGGGGGUAAAGGGAGCGGAGCCGGCGCUGCAAGUCUGAAGUGAAAGGCGGGGGCCCAACCCCUGGACUGCUUUGGAAACUGUAUGGCUGGAGUGCAGGGGAGGUAAGUGGCCUUCCUAGUGUAGCGGUGCACUGCGUAGAUAUUCGGAGGCACCCCAGUGGCGACGGCGGCUUACUGGACUGUACCUGACGUUGCGGCUCGAACGCGUGGGGAGCAAACCGGAUUAGAUACCCGAGUAGUC
RNAcentral lists this ribosomal RNA (443 nucleotides) under uncultured bacterium. Its description in RNAcentral is "partial 16S ribosomal RNA". It matches the Rfam family "Bacterial small subunit ribosomal RNA", at positions 338 to 795 of the family's 1533-position model. The record is from RNAcentral.